UUUUAUGGAGAGUUUGAUCCUGGCUCAGGAUGAACGCUGGCGGCGUGCCUAAUACAUGCAAGUCGAGCGAACGGACGAGAAGCUUGCUUCUCUGAUGUUAGCGGCGGACGGGUGAGUAACACGUGGAUAACCUACCUAUAAGACUGGGAUAACUUCGGGAAACCGGAGCUAAUACCGGAUAAUAUUUUGAACCGCAUGGUUCGAAAGUGAAAGACGGUCUUG
This 222-nucleotide ribosomal RNA is filed under the name Staphylococcus aureus. RNAcentral describes it as "partial 16S ribosomal RNA". It matches the Rfam family "Bacterial small subunit ribosomal RNA", at positions 1 to 214 of the family's 1533-position model. Lineage: Bacteria; Bacillati; Bacillota; Bacilli; Caryophanales; Staphylococcaceae. The record is from RNAcentral.